GACAUCUGAUACUUGAAUCAUAUGUCUGAUUAACAUUGUCUUAAAGGUUUGAAGCCUCUAUGAAUGCAAUGUUUAGUGAGAAUUUUUAUAUUUGAAGAUCCAUAUCCACAUAUGAUUGACAAUGUUGAAACACCUAGAAAAUAGGGAUCAAAAGAGUUUUUGAGAUUACCUGAUCCUUUGUUUGACUACAAUUUAAUAUUUAAUCCUUUGCACAA
RNAcentral lists this long non-coding RNA (215 nucleotides) under Elaeis guineensis (African oil palm). RNAcentral's name for it is "long non-coding RNA (EGUI_LNC020886)". The record is from RNAcentral. Lineage: Eukaryota; Viridiplantae; Streptophyta; Magnoliopsida; Arecales; Arecaceae.